This 611-nucleotide ribosomal RNA is filed under the name Platycheirus rosarum. RNAcentral describes it as "partial 28S large subunit ribosomal RNA". It matches the Rfam family "Eukaryotic large subunit ribosomal RNA", at positions 393 to 817 of the family's 3401-position model. Lineage: Eukaryota; Metazoa; Arthropoda; Insecta; Diptera; Syrphidae. The record is from RNAcentral.
GAGUACGUGAAACUGCUUAGAGGUUAAGCCCGAUGAACCUGAAUAUCCAUUAUGGAAAAUUCAUCAUUAAUAUUAUGGUAUUUUAAAAAUAUUAUAAAAAUAGUGUGCAAUUUUUCCAUAUAAGGACAUUGUAAUCUGUUAAUGUAAUAAAUAUUUAUCAAAAGAUCUUUUACUUAAGUUUAUUCCAAUUAGUUAUUUUCGGAUUUCUAACAUAAAAUAAAUGUAUUAGAUUUGAUAAAUCAUUGACAGAUAUAAUUAUAUGAUGCGCUUAAAUUUUUUUCGAAAAAUUUUACAUUGAAAUUAAAACUUUCGGGUUUUUUUCUUUAUAAAUGUAUGCGUUAUUAUGAUUAACAAUGCGAUAGAUUCAGGAUACCUUCGGGACCCGUCUUGAAACACGGACCAAGGAGUCUAACAUAUGUGCAAGUCAUUGGGUAUUUUUGAAUGAAACCCAAUGGCAUAAUUAACUUAACUGUUUUUUAAAUGGGAUUAGUUUAUUAUUUAUUAUGAAUUAUAAAUUCAAUCCCGGGGCGUUCUAUACAGUUAUGUAUAAUGAUAUUUAUAUUAUUUAUACCUCUAACUAGAGCGUACCUUGAGCAUAUAUGCUGUGACCC